UGCGCAGGCGGUUAUGUAAGUCAGAUGUGAAAUCCCCGGGCUUAACCUGGGAAUGGCAUUUGAGACUGCAUGGCUAGAGUGUGUCAGAGGGGGGUAGAAUUCCACGUGUAGCAGUGAAAUGCGUAGAGAUGUGGAGGAAUACCGAUGGCGAAGGCAGCCCCCUGGGAUAACACUGACGCUCAUGCACGAAAGCGUGGGGAGCAAACAGGAUUAGAUACCCUGGUAGUCCACGCCCUAAACGAUGUCUACUAGUUGUCGGGACUUAAUUGUCUUGGUAACGCAGCUAACGCGUGAAGUAGACCGCCUGGGGAGUACGGUCGCAAGAUUAAAA
This 331-nucleotide ribosomal RNA is filed under the name uncultured bacterium. Its description in RNAcentral is "bacterial SSU rRNA". It matches the Rfam family "Bacterial small subunit ribosomal RNA", at positions 568 to 899 of the family's 1533-position model. The record is from RNAcentral.